AACUUGAGAUGGAGAGAGAAUCCUGGUUUAUCCAGGUGAGACCAAUGUAAUCACAAGAGUUCUUAUAAGAGAGAGGCGGAGUCAGAGUCUGAGGAGAGGUGUGGUGACAGAAGCAGAGAUAUGAGUCAGAGAGAGAUUUGAACAUGUCGUGCUCCUGGCUUUGAAGAUGAAGGGUCCACAAGCUAAGAAAUGUGGGCAACUGCUAGAAGCUGGAAAAGAUUUGUACAAUAGAAUAUAAAACUGCAAAGCUCAACACCAAACAUUCAGUUGACCAGCCUUGAGUGCCACUGAACCGAAGCUGCCUCUCCUCCAUCCUACUACCAAGUUAAGGAAAAUAAGGAAGGAAAUUGGGAAAUAUUGUGAACAACCACUGCUAUUAUGACUACCAUCAUUUCCACUCUUGCUAAGUGAGAAGUCCUUUUUGUAAAUUACAUCAUUUAACUCUCACAACAACUCGAUGAGAUAGGUAUUUUUAUCCCCAAUGACCCCAACAAGGAAACAAAGAAAGAGGAAAGUUAAGUGAUUUAUUCAAGUUCCCACAGCUGAUGUAUAACUAGACUCAGGUCCCAGCAGGCCCUAAAAGGAGAUCCAAACCAUCACUGUAGCCCACCCGUCAGAGCAGGGGCUUCUGGAAGGCUGGUGAUCAAUGGAGCUUUGGCUCAGGUGCAUUUCACAGUGGAUCUGCUCUGGAGACUCAGCUGUCAGAAUUGAUAACAGCUGUUGGACACCGGAGCUGUUUUAUUUUUGCCAGGAGAUAACAGAGUGAAUGACUUGUAGCAGCUUCGGAACCCUGAUGAGUUCAAGGCCCGGAAUGGAGAUUGCAAAGGGUAAUUCCCAGAUAAUUCAAGGGGACGGGGAAGCUAGACAAAUCCCUGUUUCACUCUUUGAAAUUGUGCUAUGAGAAAUGAACUGAGAAAUCUGAGAUGAAAAAUCGCCUCAUGUAGAGUCCUUCAGAGAAUUUCUAUCUUCUUUUGCCUUUAUUCUUUGGGGACUGAAUGCCAACCCAACUCAUUUUUGAAAAUGGGAUUUCUCUUCCAUUUGGAGCAAGAUUUAAUUUAAGAUAAAAUUUGAUGCUUCCUUCAAAGAGACCAAAUGUCUUAGAUAUAGGCCAGGGAAAGUAUUGCUGGCUACUCAUGUGUCAUGGAUCUCCUUCUUCCUUUUCGCCUUUUGGUAAAAUUGGUGGUGGUGCUGUAGGGGUUUCAGAUCAUUCAGAUGUUGUGUUUUCUUUCUUUCAAAAUGCUGAACACAUUCAGCACUUCUACAAGGGAGAGACAGAUAGUACAUACCUCAGUUUAGGCAGAAAACUUACUUUAAAGAAAUUUAAUUCAGCAGGAAGUUAGUGUUUACCAUGUGCCAAAACAUCUGGUCGGUGCUGAAAUUCAUAGAUGAAUAAGAUGCUGGUCCUUCCCUCACAAGGCUUACCUUCACCAAGGAGACAGAUGUGCAUCUGACUGACUCCAGCUUGCAAUGGUAAGGCUCCACAUAUUUUCUUGAAGUUUUAGGAGUUUCCCUAUGUUUUUUAUUAUUCCUCUAUCUCCUUAAGAAGGAGCCAUAGAUGAAUACCGUGGCCACAUAUCAGAGGAGUGACUUGGAAGUGGAUAUAUGGAGAUUUGUGGGAAGUUAUUAAGGGUUUCUCUGUGGGCCCAUAUUUGACACUGACCUGGAGUUAAAUUCUACUUCUACUCCCUGGGCCUGUCACCUUGUAUAUAAUUCCUAUCUGACUCCUCAGGGAGGUGAGAAGGGACUAAAGAGUAGAACACAGUCUUUGUGGCUGGUUCUGCCACAACAGUUGCUGGUACACUUAGCUAUGUGGUUGUCUGGAGCUGGCUUUACUCUCACCAGGCACUUCGGUGGCUUUCUCCGUGAUUUCACACCAAAAAAUUCCAGAUGUGAGUCCUGAGAUAUGAUGACAUUUCCUAGCGGACCACACAAUGAUUCUGCUCCCCAACCACUGCCUAGCCCAUUCUGAGGUGGCCCCAUUGACCUUUCUCCCAAUACCCAGGCGGCCUUCGAGGAAAAGUCCCUGUUGAAUUGCAUCCAGGCUGCAUCUUCCCCACAUGCCUCACAUCAAGUUCAUCCUUUUCACUGCUGUUUGUGGAAGUGAAUUUUGGUCCCAAUCCAGCCCCAUUUCUUUCUGCUAUGCCAUCUUCAGUCAAUAUCUACAGUCUUCAGAUUUCUCAAGUUUUAACUCAUUGGUAAGAAAAAUAGAUCUCAGAUGAAGUGUAAAAGGACUCAAGGCAUAUUAAACAUGAGCAACUUCACAAAAUCAAAUGAACAGCAACGACAACACAUGGAGUGUAUGAAAAACAAAACAGAAGUAAAGAGGGAAAAAAAAUCCCACAGUAUGGAAAAUACAAAUGAAGAAGAAAGUAAUAAGAAAUGAUUUUUUCAAAGUGGUUUUGGUACCACGGGACAUUUAUCAAUGUCUGGGGACAUUUUUGGUUGCCGUAGUUGGAGGAAGGUUGCUCCUGAUGUCGAGCAGCUAUAGGCCAGAUGCUGCUAGACAUCUUAUAGAGAACAAGACAGCCUCUCUCCCACAACAAAGAAUUACUCUGACCAAAAUGUCAAUAGUGCCAAUGGUGGGAAAAACUAAUCUAAAAGAAUUUGAUGAGGACAUGGGUGAAUAAAGUAGAAAUCAAAAAUGAAAUGAUGGAGAAUAAAGAAGAGACAAUAGAGAACUAAGGAAGCAUAUUGAGGAUCCAAAAAAUACCAUUAAUCCAACAGAAUAGACCUGGUUGAAACAUAGAUGUCACCUUUUAAUGCAAGCAAAAUCAGGGAGAUUAAAACAUUUAGGGAGACCAUAGGUGAUAUGGAAGACAAUGGCUAUAAUUAGUGUCUGUCAUUAGUGUCUCUGAAUUAAAGGUCUCAAUAAAUAGAACAAAACUGUAUUCAAAGACACAAAAUGAGAACGACUUUUUUUUUCCUGGCAUGAGAGAAGAAUUGAAUCUGAUAGUCAAGAGCAGCUCUGUGUUCCAACCAUACUAGCACAGGUAUUUUCCAUUUCUGUAAAUGAUGGGCCAUGUUAUUAAAAGCAAUCCUCCUGCUGAAAACUACCAUAAACAAUUGGUUAAAAGACAUUUUCAAAACUUGAAAAUAGAGUGUGGUACUGCUAGAAUAAACUGUGCGGGAGCAUUUAACCAAGGGCAUGAACAGUGGUAACUUAAAGGGAUAUGGUGUAAAAGGAAAGGUUUUUAUUUUGUUUGUUUUUUUAAAGUGGGGCAGGAUUAGACAUGAUCACACAAUAAUGUGCCCAUUUGUAUCACUACCACUAGCCUGGAAACACUGGUCUGAUCAUUUUUCUGAGGAUCCCGUUCUACAAAUUUCUGCAUGAUGCCUUGGAGGACUAGUCUAGUCCCUCAGAACACCAGAUCUGGGGCCUUCAAACCUUGCCUAGAUUUCUGACGAGUCAAAAGAAGAAAAUCAGAUGAUAUUAAAGGUUACAUUGUUUCUCAUUCCCAAUAGAUAACUUUAUUUUUCUCAUCAAGCACAUUCCUUGUGGCUACUGGGAUUUCGCAGCAAGCGGAAAUACUCAUAUCUUGUAGACAAAUCAAGUGAAGGUGUAAUAACAAUUAUUUCCUCUGAAAUAAACCAGAAUGGUGAUGUAUCAGCAUAAGGGUGAAAAGGUAUAUAUUCUUCACUUGUCAACCAGCUUACCACUCUGACUAGGAAAACCUUUCUCUUUUCACUAGGGCAUAGUGCCUUCUUAUUUGGAGAGACAACUUAUGCAAAAGACCUGGCAAAGUUCCUGGAACAUAGCAUGUGCCUGAUGAAUGAUCAUUACUUUCUCACCUUAAACAAGUACACUAUAUUUUAUUAUUUAGGGAGAGGGAAAGACCCAUUUUAUAUGCAAAUCUGGACAGGCUUAAAAUACUUUUCCCAAGUGUCCACUCAACUCCUAUCUCUUUAAUAAGAUUAAGUCUCUUUAAAGAAGAUAAAAAGAAAAAGCACGAGUAUAGUUAAUCAUUAGGGAAGAAUGAGAUUGGAAGUAAAGGGAAAAGAUGUCUUGAAGCAAACUCUUCCUGGAUUCCUUCUCUUCCUCCCACAAGAAUGCUAAGAUGUGGCUUUUCCCAUCAUCACACAAUUUAUAUUGUAUCAUUAAUAGUGUGGCGAUUCUUUAAUUGAAUUUAUUCAAUCUUUGUUCAUGCACUUUGGUAGGUGGAAGAAAUGCAAUAGGGACCAAACUAUAGUCAUUUAUUCAAGGUACUUAAGGAUAAUCAAAUAAACAGACAAUCGUAGUAUUCUUUGAUAAAGGUAAACUAAGCUUGAGCAGAGAGGAGCACACCAGAAGAGUUCCAACAAGUUAUUGGGCCACAGAGAUUAUAAAAUUUUCUAGAGAAAAAUACAUAGUAAGGGAGACGUGAAGGAUGAGUAGGAAUGAUCUGGAGACAAAGAGGAAAAACUCUUCUAGACAGAGGAUUAGCAUGGGCAAAGCCUAGCAGUAAGAGCAUAGUAUAGCCUUCCAGUAUUUCUUAUGCAAAUAUAAACAGGUAUGUAUGAACUCUUCUUGCUUACUCACAAGGUAGCAAAAUGUGCACAUUCCUCUUACUCUUCAUUUGUUCGGCUAAUAAUAUAUUCUGGAGAUCUACCUGUACAGGUUCAUUAAUUUCCAACUUCCAAAUUCCACUGUGUGGAGACAGCCAAAUCUAACCAGCCCUGAUUGAUCACUUGGAUGAUUUCUGAGUUUUGCUAUUGUAAAAAUGUUGCUCUGAAUAAAAUAAAAAUGUUUGCCCAGCUUGUCAU
Molecule: long non-coding RNA, 4740 nt
Organism: Equus asinus (donkey)
Lineage: Eukaryota; Metazoa; Chordata; Mammalia; Perissodactyla; Equidae
Source: Ensembl